AUGCCUGUGAUCCAGUGGCUUGCUUUUCUCUGCACUCUGUUCAUCAUCCACACUAGAUUAGUACACAGUGACAUUCAGUUCUUGGAGGCCUAUGAAGGAGAAUCUGUGGUUCUUCCCUGUGUGACUGAGCAGAGAAGCUCCUCGCCCUUUGGUGUCUACCUGAAGCGCAAGUGGCUGCAGCCCGGUGAGGUGCUGUUUAUGUACACCAAGGAGAAGAUCACCGUGAACAAUAAAGAUGACAAAAACCGCAUCAGUGUCACUGGAGACCCGAGCAGCCACUGCCUGAAUGUGACUAUCUCUCAACUCAGGCUUAGGGAUACAGAUCACUACUAUUGUGAGUUUCUUGUGGACAAACCUUCCUCUCAAGAUGAACAUAUACUUGGAAAGACAGAGUUCUUCAUCCUAGUAAAACCUGAUGCUCCAGGGCCGGCAAACAUAGAGUUGGUAGAGACGUGUGUUGGGGGCUCGGUCGUGUUCCCCUGUCCAGUCCAACAUGAGGAAGGCUUGGUUGUAGUGGGUGUGAGUCUAAAGCGACAGAGAGGCCAGUCGCCUGUGGAGGUGUUGUACAACUCAAGGCUUCACCAUGCCAGCAGCUCGUCUUUCUCCUCCUCCCAGUUCCCUGUUGAGAGAGUCCAACUGUCCUUGGUGCCCGGCCCUGGCAGCAUCACCUACAACCUGACCUUGCAGCAGCUGCAGCCAGAGGACAGUGCCCUGUACAGCUGCCAAAUGCUGAUACACGGCAGGCCUGACAGCAUCACCAGUCUAGGGAGGCGAGUGUUCUUUGUUUCUGUGCAAGGCAACAACUGUGGCUGCUCCAACUACUCCGUUCUGCUCUAUGUCUUGUCCUCUGCUGUGGCCACGCUGCUGCUCGUCCUCAUUGGACUUGUGGUGUGUUGUCAAGCCAAAACACGCCACCGUGUCAACUCUCAACCUCAGGCUCCCAUCUAUGAAGAGAUGGUUGGGGUGCGGCCUCGCAACCAAAAACUGGCCCCUCACCAUCUGGAGGAAACUCAGUCUUCUCAAUACAGAAACGUCUUAGUAAAGAAAUCCUGUUCUGAAAACCAUUAUGAAAGCCCGAGCGGGGUCCCUUGCCUCAGAACUGAGUCUCAUAAAUGAAAUAUCAGAACUGAAGGUCACUGGACUUCAUACUGAAGUUUCUUCAAUAAAUUUGAGGAGUUUAAAUUCUCCUCAUGCUGUUUUUUUUAUUUUUUGCUUUUUAAUCUCAUAAUGGACUGUUGCUAAUGUGAAAGAGUGGAAAGAGUGUCUUUGUCAGAAUAGAUCAUGGUAUCCUUUUAGAGAGACUGAAAUAUUGUCCCGGUGUAUCAGAUAUGGUUCUAAAACGGUUUUCAUCAUACCUGUCGUACAGUAAUUUUGUUGUUUCAUCAAAUAUCUUCCUUUUCUAAUAUAAAGUAUGGUGUACCUCAAGGGUCAAUUCUCGGCCCACUACUAUUUUCUGUUUAGAUGCUCUCUCUGGGUGAUUUCAUCGUAUCUCGUUCCAUUGCUAUGCUCCCUUUUAAGCCCACUGACCACAGCCCACUAAGUUCCCUACUGAUGUGUCUGAAUGAUAUUCAAGACUGGAUGUCAUUUAAUUUUCUUCAGUUAAAUUAGUUGUUAGUUUAUAAGUUAAUAAGAUUGAAAUUCUCAUUAUUGGCUCUCAAAGUCUUACUGAACAAAUAGCACCAGCUAUGGGGACUCAAUGCCAAAAAUCCUCUGCUAGAAACUAGUCAAGUAGUUUGACCUUUGCAAAUCAUGUCAUUAAGCUUGUCCAGUCUUGCCAUAGUCAUCUCAGAAAUAUUGCCAAAAUUAGAUCCAUUUUAAACUACAGACACUGAAACAAUAAUUCAUGCCCUUUUUACCUAAGUAGUAAAAACCUUAAACUCCUUUAAAUUGUCCAGAACUCAGCUGCAAGACUCUUUUUAUUUUUUUCGAUAUUUUAACCCCAUAUGCACCUUCAUGUUUCAUGUGAUGCUCCUAUAGUUCCAACUGCUCGGCAAGUGUGACAGAGCUUUUCCUGCAAUGGUAUCAAGACUCCAGAAUGAGUUGUCCUUGGAAAUUAGACAGACAGAGUCAUUGUCUUCUUUUAAGUCUGUUAAAAUCAUAUUUUCUGAUUUUAUCUGAAAUUAUUUGUAUAGUUUUAUGUCUGUGUUUAUUUUAUCUUGCUUUUAUUUUUGAAUUUAGACAGCACUUUGGACUUCGUAAGAAAAAUGCUGUAUAAAUAAAGUUAUUACUACUUUGUCAUACUUUUUAACAGCUUUUAUAAAUGUUUGCUGCCAGUAGAUAAAAUAUUUCAUAACAAAAUUUCCCAUCUCAAUGUUAAUAUACAUAUUAAUAUACUAUACAAUAUUCAUAUUGAUACAUUUUCUGUGGUGGCUCCUAGGGAGAAAAUGCAUAGCAAAACAAGAUAUGUACUUAAAGUCCGAAAACAUUCAUGCAAUAAGAAAAAUACUUUGUGUGGCGAUCUCUGGCACAGAGGUUAGCACUGGGGGCCUAUGGUUGUUGGGCAGAAGCAGAUGUGUCCUCCGGGGAGAGAGAUUCGUAAUUUAAUUAGUAAUGUAGCAUAUUUCUCAAAGGUUUACAUUAAACUAAAUUUUGUAAGUAUUUUAAGUUAUAUUUUCCAAAAGUAUAUUAAAUUACUGAUACAACAAAGUAUACUCAAAGGAAAUUUUGCGAAGUAUAUUGAAAUGUCAGUACUUAAUUAGCAAUUUGCAUAAUUCUUAAAUGUUCACUUUAAACAUAUUUGUAAUUUUAUUAAGCUAUUAGUUAUUAGUCAUUAGUUAUUAAGUUUGGGGGUUUAAGGUAAGGUUAGGAUUUAGAGUUAGAGCUAAGACUAGGGUUAGGUUUAGGAUUAGGGCUAGAGUUAAGAUUAGAGUUAGGUUCAGGGUUAGGGCUUGAAAUAGGGUUAGUUCUAGAUUUAGGGUUGUGGAUUGGGCUAGGGUUAGGUUUAAGGUUAGGGAUGGAGUUCAGACUAGAGUUGAGGUUAGGGUUAGUGUUUAGGUAAAGGUUAGGGUUAGCUCUAGCCCUAACCUAAACCCUACCUCUAAACACUAACCCUUAAACCUAACCCCAACACUAACCCAUUCACUUCAAUGCUUAUAUCUUUUGACAGUUGGGUCCAAUCAAAGUGUUUUUUUCCCUCUGAAGAAGCAGGGAGCAGGUCUUUAAUCCAUAACUCUAUUUUAAUUUGGUCCAAUUGGUUUUUAUUCUCCUGUCCACGGUGUACCCCUGCCUUCCACCCGAAAGAGAGCUGUGAUAGGCUCCAGCAGAUCUCCGUGGAUGGAUGGAUGGUUUUUAUUCUACUUUUAAACAUUUUAAAUCUUUAGAAAAAAAAUCUUAUGGUUUUAACUGUUGGUGUUGGAUCAAAUAUAUAUAAUUCACUCUUCAAAGACUUUUAACAACCCACUGAAAAAUUCACUGAACAUUAGGACAAUUGUAGCUCUCAGGCUUUUGGGCCUGGAGGUAGAAAAACCCUCUCCAUUUCAGCAAUACUACACAAUAGGAUUCUUCACAGCUUGACUAAGCCACCAUUAUGGCAGCAAGAUAAAAUUAACUGCGCUGGACUAAGAAACAUCUGUGGCUUGCUUGCUAAACCUGAGGCCUCCAUCCUACAUCUCCAUUUCUGACACACCGGGCCAUCAUACAUUUCCCUACUCACACAUACUGCUACAAAUAUAGGCAUACAUACUCAACACAUACAUAAACAAAUACAUGCACUCACCCAUCUACUACUACAACUGCACAUACUUCAUGGCACGCUAAACAUACCUAUGACUACAACAGCCCACAGUUCAUCUACUAACACACAAUCUCCCCCAAAAAUAACCACAAUGCUAGCUACCAUCCUGGAGAGAGUGGAGGAAGAACAGGAAUUUCCCCCUCUACCAAAACCCACAGCACCACACAGACUAACUCUUCAUUUAGGCCCAAAAACAUCACUGAUAGAACACGUAAUCCAAAACAAAACUUAAGCUCAACCCUAACCCAUUCACUUCAAUGGGGAAACACAUUUUUACUUAUAUCUUCUAGUUGGAAAGUCUUAUUGAAACAGGGGUACCCUAAUGCCGAGACAGCUUUUUCAUCAGUACCAAGCGGGCCUCUUUCCUUCUGUUCCUGAGAUACUGCAAAAAUAUACCUCAGAAACUGGCAAACAAGGUUACAGACAGACAGGAGGGAGACCAAUAGAAAGAACGCUUCCUGGUAUGGGGGCAUACACCCCAUUUUCACAUCUCUACAACCUUCCUAUCAAAAAUUGACAGAGCAAGUUCUCGGCACAGGUACCGAAAUUAGUUUUUGCUCUCCUACCCUAACCCAAACUCUAACCCGAAAGUUAAAGCUAACCCCAACACUAACCCAUUCAUUUCAAUGGUGAAACACAUUUUUGGUUGUAUCUUUUGGUAGGUAAGUCCAAUCAAAACAGGUGGGUGGCAUGUACCCUAAUUCAGGGAGGGCCUUUCCAAUGGUACAAAGCACGUCUCUCCAAUCUUUUCGUUCACAAUAAUGAUAAUGAAUGAAUCAACCCCCCUCAGUCAUAAAAAAUUAUCAUGUUCCUCAAAGCACAGGUCGAGGUGGAAGAGUAGCUACAAUCUUCCACUCAAACUUAUUAAACUUUCAUCCUCAGAACAAUUUUAACUCAUUUGAGAGCCUCACUCUUAGUCUCUCACAUCCAAACUGGAAAACACAAAAACCAGUUCUACUUGUCAUUGUGUACCAUCCACCUGUCCCUUACUCAGAGUUUUUAACUGAAUUCCCUG
Molecule: long non-coding RNA, 4748 nt
Filed under: Mastacembelus armatus (zig-zag eel)
Lineage: Eukaryota; Metazoa; Chordata; Actinopteri; Synbranchiformes; Mastacembelidae
Description: lncRNA (ENSMAMG00000024976.1)
Source: RNAcentral